AACGUAGGGGACAAGCGUUAUCCGGAUUUACUGGGCGUAAAGCGCCCGUAGGCGGCCUGACAAGUUGGACGUGAAAGCUCCUGGCUUAACUGGGAGAGGCCGUUCAAAACUGUCAAGCUAGAGUCCGGAAGAGGCGAGUGGAAUUCCUGGUGUAGCGGUGGAAUGCGCAGAUAUCAGGAGGAACACCAACGGCGAAGGCAGCUCGCUGGGACGGUACUGACGCUGAGGCGCGAAAGCGUGGGGAGCGAACAGG
Molecule: ribosomal RNA, 253 nt
Filed under: uncultured bacterium
Lineage: Bacteria
Description: partial 16S ribosomal RNA
Rfam family: Bacterial small subunit ribosomal RNA
Source: RNAcentral